UUUUAUCACACAAUUCGCUCUCGACUCUCGGCUGCUACUGCCGCACUACACGAACGAAAUAUCUUAACGAAUCACUAAAUUUCACUGUAACACCUACACCACUAUAGCUGGAAAAAAAAAUCUUCCACUAUCAAAAGUGGGAAAUUUUAAAUUUGGAAAACCCCUUGGAAUCCUGGGCGGGCUAAGAAACCGCCUUGAAUAAUUGGUUUAUAACUAUCGGCUGCUCGGACUGUGUCAGAAGCUUCUGCGGUUAUCCUAGCUACUCGCCACGCGACACAACCGCUCCGCAGUCACGCGACUGCAGGCGUGCUCAGUUAUAUUUUGCGAGGGGCUCAUUCUGAGCUCAGCUGUGGACGGUGGCAGCCUGACUUGUGUUUCGUCCGCGGUCUUGAAUCACUCGACGACAUUUAUGAUAAACACUCUCUCAAUCUGGACGGUAAUAACUCUGCCUUGUCUAUUUAUUCGGAUUAAAAUGGUGGACGUUUCGAAGAGGUACAGAAAAUGCUGACCUAGAUUCCACGAACCUUGAAAUUGAUUUGCUAGUUGACCACCCUGGAGACCACCAUCCUCUAUCUCUCACCGACCACUACGUCUCUGGUGACGUCACACAUUCCCAUCUUCACGUGACGCGUAACAAAUAAGAGGUUGCGCAUGAUUCGAUUUUCUACUGGGACUUUUUUUAGUUGAGAUGGAAGCAACUGGGCACCAAGUUCAGAUCUGAAUCAUAAUACACCAGCCGAAACGCAUUUAUAUUGUCAGUACUUGCACCGCCGUCGCAAGGGGGCGCAAUAAUCUGUUACGAAAAAUACUGAGAAACGCCUGGGGAGUGAGCCUACAGCAGCAGGUCCGACACCUGAUAUCUAUUUCCUUAAUACUCAGGAACUAAGCAACACUGAAGGUGUCAGACUGUGUCAUGGUCAUGCCAAGAUAAUAGCGAAGGAUAGAGCAAAAGUUCAUUGAACUCGUUCUCAUUAGACUAUCAGAUGAAAGAUAUCAAGAUGAGUAGGAAUAUAGUUCCAACCAAAUGCUCCGAUUGUAAGCUAGCUGUACUUGGAAGAUGCAGUGUUGGAAAGUCAGGUAAGUUAUACUCAUGUUUGUAUUUACUAUAAUGUCGUCUUUCAAAAAUUCCUCGCUUUCUUUCUUCACUCACCACCGUUGACAAGCCAUAAGAGUUAACUACACUGCACUGACUGCACCACUACGCGCGCGCACACAGACACACUUUCUUUUUUCAACACACCAUACACCACACACCAUAGACACACAUACACUACACACUCACCCAAUUUUCUCUUCUCUAUCACACAUACACACACACCCGCGCGUACCAUUAUUCAUCAUUCCUGUUUGUACGGGACGCACGAACAAUUUACAAUGGACGCGAAUCCAAAAAUUUUGUAUUUUCUCCGCAUAUCUCGGGGCAAUCCAAUCAUCAAACGAUUCUUGCGUAGGUUGUGCUGCUAAGCAGUCAGACCGCAGGUCCCUAUGCUAACGAGCAAAAAGGCCAGAUUAAUCCAAAUCAUCUUGUGGCUGAAUCCUCCUCCUUGCAAAAUCUCGUGAUUCGUGAGAUUUUCUUUCUCUAAGAAUUUACCUGUUUUAACCUCAAGUUAAAUGAAAUAUUAUUGCACCAUCAGAUAGAGUAAAUGUUACUCUUUCAUAUUGGUCAUUUAUUUUGUAUACAAUAUUUUGUUAAAUAAGUAAAUUUCUGGCCUGAAAAUGUGCCUCAAAGCUGAAUUUUCUUCCUCUGUUUUCUUUUGCAAAUGGUGCAAAACUUUUUAUUUUGAGCCUCAAUGAUAUCUAUAUCACCAUAAAGCUGAACUUCUGUACUUUCUCACAAUGCCACUCUUGAUAUGCGGCACCUUUUAAUCGGGUCAAGAUCACACUUUUCCCACCAAGGUACAAGACGAGAUUUCUGAAAUUUUGUACUUGCAUGAAAUCCAGAGUUCUGAUUGGCUGGAUAAGGUUCACAGAACAACAGGCGCGGGGUAUUUGAGGAGAUAACCACAUGGGAAGUGUGACCUUCCCAUGAACCCAGGCACUGGAACCGUUGGAAUUUGCCAAUGGGUGGUCUCUUUGACCAAUCAGUGUGCAGUAUUAUUGUUUUCAAGCUGCUUUAUGUACUUGGCAAAUGAAAAGUGUGAUCUUGACCCCAUUAAACCAAUUCUUAUUUUGAAACCUAUAUCAUUUUAAAGCAUACAUAUUCAGCUUUAUCAUGAUCUAAAAAUCAUUUGGGCUCAAACAAAAAUAAAGUGUAAAAAUAGCAGCUUUUGUCAGGUGAAAAUAAUUAUUUUGUAGCAUAUUUUAGAUCAAAAUUUUAACUUAUAUUACAAAAUCUUUGAAUAAAUUCAAACACAUGACCUGAAAGAAUGAUUCUUCUUCUUUACAAUGAUACCAAAUUUAUGAAAUUCGAUGCACAAUUAGAGCAGCAAUGACCGAAUGAAAAGAGGUGUUUUGGUCCACAUCAAGCUCAUUAAAUAUGCAAAACAUCUCAAGUCAUGAAUAUCACUUGGAUGAAAGAAGCCACUUUCUUGGGACCUGCCGUCUGACUGUAAGUUAUCACGACGUUCGUGCGAAUGUCGGGCGUAUCAUGCAUGGUUAGACUAUGGAGUUAGAAUAUACGGUCAGUCAAAACACACAAAUAGCACGCGAUAUUCGGUCGAACUUCGCGACUCAAGGCUUGCACGAGACGUUCGGCAAACUUUCGUAAUGUGGCUAAGGAUUUACCAAAAAUGUUUUAAAGGUAUGAUUGCGAACAAAUCGUGAGUACAUCCGGUCUCGCAAAAAAGGCUUCCAAUAAAACCCUUUUUAAUGUGUCAUCCGUAUUGAUGAUAGCAUUAUAUUUUGAACGUUUUACCGAAAUGAACCAUUGUUCGCCUAAAACACAUCUGUCAAGAUAAUGUAUGUGUAUUUCAGUCCACCGCCAUUACGCAUUUCAUUCCAAUCUUAAACUUGGAUAAUAAUUGAGGGCAUUAUUCGACUUUUAAUUAAUUUUACAGUCACACCAAAGUUGGUGAAAUCGACUCCAAACCGACCGAUGAUAUGUCAUUCGAAAUAACGUAAUAGCUUUGAUCGGUCUGGAGUCAGUUUCGCAUGUGUGACUGUGGGCGCGUCUAGUGGUUCUGACUCUCGCCUUUCAAACAGAGGGUCGUGGGUUCGAAUCCUAGCCAUGGCGUGUUUUCCUGCAGCAAGAAAUUUAUCCACACCGUGCUGCUUUCGACCCAGGUGAGGUGAAUGGGUAUCCGGCAGGAUUAAUUCCUUGAAUGCACCAAGCGCCUGUAGCAGCUGGAGCUUCAGCCGGGGUAAUAUAGCGCGCCAUUGAAUAGGCAACUAUAAAUCGGCGCCUCCUAUAUAUUGACUGUAACGAUAAACAUGAUACUUCUCUUUACUCAAAAUUAUUGUACAGUUCAUGAAAAGUUCAAGAGCUUUUAUUUUUCCUUCUCCUUAAAAUAAAUCAAAUCCCGGAUUCAAAUCUCAUAUUUAUGUCUCCUAGAACAGAAAGAGAUUGGUAUAAAGAAAACUUGUUCUGGUUUAUGUUUCCCUCAAGGUGUAUCGAGAUCCCUUUGAAACCUGGGCCCAGUCUUACAAAGAGUUAAGAUUGAUCCCAUCAACCACAACUAUGGAAAGCCAGCAACGUCAACCUGUUAAACACAUGUUUGUUCUAAAGGAUUUUCUAGAUAUUAUGAUAUAUAUUCGUACAUUCUUAGUUUUCAUGAAAAUUCAGCGUGCUUUUCUUUGUUUACAGAGGACAUUGUGCAAAUUUCCUGAAGAAAAAGGCGCGAUAGCUCAGUCGGUGGAGCGGGGGAUUCGUAUUCUGGUGACCCGGGUUCGAUUCACACUUGGUGCGCUAGUGCCCUUUGGUUAGGCAUUAAUCCUCAUUACCAGGUCCUUCGGAGAGGACCUUGAGCCGUCGGUCCUCUGGUUGCUUGCUUACAAGCAUUCAUGCUGUCUUAGCAAUCAGGUAAAAAAUCCCCACCAAUCAAUCAAUGAAGUUGAUGGAUUUCCAUAUACUUGAGGUUGAUCGGAUCAGUCGUGACUCUUUGUAAGACGGGGCCCUGGAAAAUAUCCAGAAACGUAUCAGUCAUGAUAGAUGAAUAGUUAGCAUCGGGAAACAUGUAACGCCUGAGGGUAUACAUGACCUACCUGACUUGUCUAAUGGGAUAUUUGGGAUACACUGUGACAUUGUAUCGGAUGAAGGAAAUCACAUCAAAGAAAUGUUGCAGCAGUUUGUCGAAUGAGCUCAAACUUGGUUAGAUCAGAAUGGGACGGGUGUCUUCUCUCUGAUAUUUUGUUUAAAAAAGUCAUCUUCACUGGUAAGCCUAUCAGUAAGAAUUACGAGCACGCGGUACCUGUUGAACAGUUCUAACACGCCCGAAGCGCAGGCGAGGGCGUUAGGACUGUUCCAAUGGUAAAAAUGUUUGUACCUGUUCUAAUACCUGAGCAGAAUUAUGUGUAUUAUUUGUUUUAUAAGAUAAUGAUAUGCAUCUCUAUACUUUGAUAAACCUUCCUCUUCUCUCAUCACACAUUGUGUGCCGGACUUUAGACUUACGAUAAACUUCUGCGACGCGUUUAUCGGUCAAAAAGAUUGUUGUGCGCAUGCGCAAGACAGAGGAUACGUGUUCUGCGAAAGCGCAUAAUCAUAAUUUUGGCAAAUAACCGCGACCCCGAAGUUGUGUCACAAUCUCCAAAAUCACAAACAGCCACAUCUGUGAACUAUUCCAUUUGCAGUGUUAAACGUUAUCAUUGAAAACAUUAUGCUAGAGGCCUAACCUCUUUUUGCCUAAAUUCUGCGGGUACGGUUUUAAAAGAAGGUUCUGAAAAUAAAAUAUGUUUACCUCGGAAAUGCAUUUCAACACGAUCUUGAACGCAAAACAAGCCUAAUCUUAUUUUGUUCCCCACUGUCCUCGAGCGAAACACAUCUUGGAAACGUACCUCAUUCGCACCUCAUCAAAAUUACUUCCAAUUUAGGAUAAAACUUUCGCACCUUCUGGGCUGAGAAAUCUGUUCACGAUUAUUUUGUGUAAAGUGUAAACGCCCCACGGCAUACCACACCUGAGCAGUGGGGGUCGCUUUCACCAAAAUAUUUACUUGCAAGCAGCAUGGGGGUCAGUGUAAGCAUGAAGCCAUCUCGUGUGGUAGACCAUUGACCCAUAUGUCCAUGGGCAGACAAGAGAUUUGAAGAGAAAAAAAAAACGAAGAGAGACGACGAGAGUGUUAAAGAGACGACAAGUGUUAGAGAGAGACGGACAGAGAUGCAGAGAAAGUGAUAUAAAUGGAGACAUUAUAGGCGGAGACCGAGAACAAGACAAAGAAAGGGAGACAGGUAAAGACACAGAGAGACAACGAAAGACAAUGAGAACGACUGUAUAAUCUUGGGAAUUAAGUCAACUUCAAAAUGUCAAGCCAAUCGAUUUUUUUUUUUUAUAAACAGACACUCGAAAUUAACUCUUUUACCUCAUUUAUCUUCAAGUUGAUAGAUAGAUGGAGAAACGUGAUUUAUGAAAUGUGAUUAUCAAAAACGAAACUAGAGAGUUUAACAGACAAAAUUUCAUGUUUGAAAGCCUUUCUUCUAUAACUAUACAAUUUACAUAUUUUCAUUGAAAUCAUAUAUCUUCGUUCAUAUCCAUAUCAAAUCAUUGUCUGGGAAUGUGUUAAUUAUGUAUGUCUAACGAAUCGGCAAAGCAUAGGUUUUUUUUUAUUUGUUUACUUUUAUAAAAUACUGGUUUUUGGUUUGUUUCUGUUGAUGUGCGAAAGUGCAGCUGUACAACGAAGGAGGAGAAGUUCUAAACUUCUUGGUACAAUUUUUCCAGCCAAGAACCCCACCACCCCCCCCCCCCCCGAUCGAUCUCCCUGCUAAAACGAAUAAAACCCGAAUAUUUUGCCAGUCGUGAUUUACAGAUAAAGACAAACAUUGUGACAUUUAUAGGUCGUGAGUUUGACUUGACCUUCAGCAAACCAACUUGUCUCGAGCAAUUCCUGAUUUUUUCCUAAAAAUAUGAGACGGAGGACUAUUAUAUUCUCCGUUUUCCGUCUUUGUUGACGAGUCUGAACAGCUGCUCAGAAAUGUCUUCGUAAAAAUCGGUCCCCCAACUUUGCAAGGUGAAUCCAUUCUCACGGCAACGUACGAAUAACGAUCAGUUUACAAGAUUCAUUUCUAAAAUCAAUAUUUAAUUCACGAAUUCGUGAGAAAAUCGCGCGGUUUAUCGCUAGUUGACAUUUGGCAGUGCUAGAAGUCGUUUUCCAUAUAACGUGUAACCGUCAGUGAUUAAAAAACAAGAGCGGGGUGCCACGGGGGGGGGGGGGUAAGGACGAAUGUGAUAGUAAAGAUAACACAGACAGAAAGAGGCAAAUGCCUGUUAAGAUUUGA
Molecule: long non-coding RNA, 6364 nt
Organism: Lytechinus pictus (painted urchin)
Lineage: Eukaryota; Metazoa; Echinodermata; Echinoidea; Temnopleuroida; Toxopneustidae
Exons: 3
Source: RefSeq, a predicted model, not a curated record